UUUGGUUUGUUACGUGUGGUUGGCUGCGGCGUUUGCAACAACUUCCAUGCUUUCAGACCUCUUCAGUUGUGCGGCAAGGCUUGUAUCGCCUUGAGCGUACUGUGGGUUUUCUGUGUUGGCUACCUAAUCAACGGUAUCGGUUGGAUUGAUCAAAGUUUGAUUUCGUCUUCCGUCGCAUUCGCGGCGUGAGGUGAACCUCGAUGCGGUCUCUUUGAUCCACCUCGUUNNAGCACUUGCUUCGACGUUGUGGCACAUUGAGCAUUGCUUGGUCUCUUGUAUACGGAACAUAUAGUGGGCAUGGAUCUAACGAUCCUCGUUUGCCCUCAUAUUAGCGUAACGCUUCUCUAACACGACUUGCGCCANGUUUUAG
Molecule: unclassified non-coding RNA, 370 nt
Filed under: Artemisia schmidtiana
Lineage: Eukaryota; Viridiplantae; Streptophyta; Magnoliopsida; Asterales; Asteraceae
Description: partial external transcribed spacer
Source: RNAcentral